This is a long non-coding RNA of Corticium candelabrum, 1247 nucleotides long. RefSeq lists it as uncharacterized. The transcript is spliced from 11 exons. Lineage: Eukaryota; Metazoa; Porifera; Homoscleromorpha; Homosclerophorida; Plakinidae. The record is from RefSeq and is a predicted model, not a curated record.
UCUCUAGGACUUGGCGCUUCUUUGAAAGCCAAUCUUAUUCUAGCGGAAUGCCAGACGCCUGUAGAGGAGUGUGCAAAGCUCUCAUUAUUUGGAGCACGUGUACAGACGUCGCUUGUCUGCAGAAUGACUUCCAGAGCAGGAAAACGGCUAACCAAGAAGACGUCUAGUUCGAAUUUCGUAUAUGACACCAAUGACAAUAGCCAUGAGAUCACAGUAGUUUACGACUACGAUGGGGUACGUAAAGGAAUCAAUGAGGCCUGGAAGCUCACAGACAGAGCUGGCAACCAGCUAGACAUGUCCGAACUAGCGCUUCAGCAUCAUGUUCUACCGCCAAACGAUCGCUAGGUUUCAGUUCAGAGAAUGUUUCAAGGAGAAAGAAACGGAAGCAGACUGGGAAGGAUUUAGGUAUCAGACAUGCCAGUGAGUAAAUUCUUCAGAUAAUAUCAUAUAUAAGAAAUUAACUAAAUGGGUUUUCUUCUUUGGAAUGUGCAGAGAGCAGAGAAUCUUGCCCUGAUUUAGAAAUUAGGGACAGUGAAUUGGAAGAGACGGUUGGCAAGUCUGGCUUCACAGAAAAUUUAGUUCAGCAACUUUAUCUCGAUCUCAGAGUCACUCAUGUAGUGGAUGUCAGAAAGUGAAGGGACAGCUGAGAGACAUAAAAACCACGUUGUUGUUAGUUGGCACUGAAUUCGCUGAGAUAAAAUCGCAACUCAGCACAGUGGCAGAAGUCACAUCUAACACUUUAGCAAUUCUUUCUACUCACAAGGCAAAGAAGAGUGCAAACACACCAAGUCAAAUGACAGCAAGCUCUAGUGAAUCUCCACAGAUGAUACAUCUUGGCUGCGAGGAGGCUGUUGCUGCUUCUCCUUCUUCAAUAGUAGUUACAGAAACGAAAUCUCCAAAUGCAGUUAAAGUUGGUGAUGAAAGGCUAUGUGUAAUGGUGCCAUUCUCACAACUCCGAACUGUCAGCUGCCAACUUUACAAGUUGGGAGUCGUGAUCCCACAAGGCAACUGACUCCUGUAAAGUUGGAUGCUUUACGAAGUGACUGUGCGAUGAAAUUUCCUCUUCUGCCAGGAGAAGCCUUGAAAGACGUGAGGAGCAAAAUUAAGGAAGUCUUGGCAGACAAGUGUCGAUAUCAAAAGGCACGAAGGGCAGCACCAGGUGUCUAGAUUGAUGCUUAGUGUACAUGUUACAGUGUUUUUAGUGUUGUUUAGUGUUGUUAGCUUGUGUGUGUGUGUGUGUGUGUGUG